CAUGAAGCUGGAAUCGCUAGUAAUCGCGGAUCAGAAUGCCGCGGUGAAUACGUUCCCGGGUCUUGUACACACCGCCCGUCACACCAUGGGAGCCGGAAAUGCCCGAAGUCAGUGACCCAACCGCAAGGAGGGAGCUGCCGAAGGUGGAGCUGGUAACUGGGGUGAAGUCGUAACAAGGUAAC
Molecule: ribosomal RNA, 182 nt
Filed under: uncultured bacterium
Lineage: Bacteria
Description: partial 16S ribosomal RNA
Rfam family: Bacterial small subunit ribosomal RNA
Source: RNAcentral